RNAcentral lists this transfer RNA (72 nucleotides) under Bos taurus (domestic cattle). It matches the Rfam family "tRNA". Rfam says of the family: Transfer RNA (tRNA) molecules are approximately 80 nucleotides in length. Their secondary structure includes four short double-helical elements and three loops (D, anti-codon, and T loops). RNAcentral also lists the same sequence under 5 other names. The record is from Rfam by way of RNAcentral. Lineage: Eukaryota; Metazoa; Chordata; Mammalia; Artiodactyla; Bovidae.
UCCCUGAUGGCUCAGAUGGUAAAGAAUCUGCCUGCAAUGUGGAAGACCCAGGUUCGAUCCCUAGUUAGGGAA